AACUGCAGUCUCGGGCAGUGAAGAGGAGACUGCGAAUGAUCUCCUUUGCAAUUGUGACUUCGCAUCUAAUCAAGAAAUGAAAUGAGACAAAUAAACACAGCUUUUCCUUUACAAUUUAGAGGUAUCUAUCUACAAUAGCGUUGCAACUUGUAACUGCAAUUUCGGCUCUAUUUGCGUGUAUUUUGUCAUAAUAUCAAGGUUUGCAGUAUAACUGCAACUAAAAUUUAGAACUAUGAUUCUGAGGUAACAAGAAUANNNNNNNNNNNNNNNNNNNNNNNNNNNNNNNNGAAAAGAAAAGUUACAGAAACUACAUCUGAGAUGGAAACACCAGAUUUUUUCAAUAUAGUUAAUACCUAAAAGGCUAAAACUACUAAAUCUUUGGCAUUCAUCAAUAUUCUGGAAAUUUACUUGACAACAUUCAGAUCAAUUUAAUUAUACAACCACUAAAUAAAACUUCUCUACAAUUCCAGGUUUUCACCUACACCUAUGAAGUCCCGAUGUCAGACGGUGUCUGACAUUGACACAACACCUAAACAUGAUUAUGCUGAAUUAUGUUAUUUUCUCAAGUCGGUGACACGGUGUCAAGGUGUCGUGUCCAGUGUCUGUGUCCAUCCGUGCUUCAUAGCUAGCAACUCUAGUUGACAAGCGUGUGUUCGAUUUACAGUGAAUUUAGCAUAAUCACAUUAUCCACCAUAAUUUUGACAAAAGAUAGUACACUUUAUAGCUUCAACAAAAUCAUGAUGUCAGUAUAAUUUCGCCUACUCACUACUCACUAGCUAUACAAACUUGCACAUAACCAAAAUACAUAAUAACUGAGAGCUACUACACCAUAAAGAAACCACACAAUAGUGAUAAGAAGACUCAUUGGAGAACCCAUGUUUCAGUAUCAUUAAUUAUAGUGACUUAAUUUUCAAUUUUCUUUGAAAUAACUCUUAACACCAAUACCAAUCCUAAUCUUCAAUAAACAGCAAUGAAUAAGCACGGUGGCUCUACCAAACUAAAGAACCAUUCAGUAAAAAUCACAUUGCAUACACACCAAAAUCAACUACUAGCUUUAUGAAAGUUAGUAAAUAAAUAAGUGCAAGUAUAAUAAAGAGUUAUUGGUUAGGAAAAAAAUUAAAAUCUCACUAUGAGGGAAGCAGCAAAGUGGUACAGGGCGCUGCACAACUGCAUCCAUUUAGAUAAACUGUCUUGUUCGGUUGUUCUGUUUCUCCACCAACUGGUACCCUUUUUUUUUGCUUCCUUAUCCUUUAAAAUUGUUGUAAAUUUAUUGUUGGCAGCUAAAUAAAUAUAGAAAAUUGAGGAAAAGUAAAUAAUAGAGAGCAUAGUGUCAAAAAUGUGGGUUUUUUUUUUUCUCUAAUUAUUUCACUAGAUAUAAUCUUAUUUAAAAUAUGUCAGAUAUUAACUAUGUGUUUGUUUUUUUUUUUUUGACGCAAAGAAAACUUAUGUCAUUUCAUUCAUAAUAAUAGUAGCAAUACAAUGAGGGAUUACAUUAAAAGUACUGCGAUAAGCAUGAGAUAAACCUGCUCGUGCGAGUGCAUGAGCGCUACCGUUUGCUUGACACCUAGUAAAAACGACUAUGAAGUCAUUAUAGUGAUGAAGUAAGGUUCGACAAUUUUGAAUGAUUGAACCAUACUCCGAUUGAACUAUGUGUUUGUUUUAAGAGAAAGAAAAUGUGAAGAGACAAAAAUACGAAAACUAAUGAAUGAAGACUAAAUUCAUUCAUUGAUUUCCGUGUUUUUAUCUCUUCCUCUUUCUUUCUCUCAAACUAAAUACACCAUUAAUGUGGCUGUCAUCUCUUCUCGGCUCGAAUUCAAAUUCUAAUAUUAAAUAAAAUAGUAAAACAUAUUUUAAAGCAUCUUUAAAAUUGUUUAUAAAAUUAAAUCUAUAAAAAUAAGUGUUUGUUUAAUAUAUGACUUUUCAAAAAGUGGACUUUUGCUAUUUUUAAUAAAAAAUAAAUUUUAUAAUAAUCGAAAUGGAGAACAAAAAUAAUGUUUUAUUGAAAUUUUCUCAAAGCAAUAAGGUUCAAUGUUGAACCGAGUUCAUAUUAUAAAACACCAAUAAUUUGUUUUUUAACACCAACAAACUUAAGUCAUUUCAUUAAUCAAUUGAUUCUUAAUAUAAGGAUGAAUCGAAUAGAGAAUACAACGACUAGCCCAAGAAUCGGUCACCCUUGAUAACUUAUGAGUAACCGAAUUCGCUUGGCGUUUGAUAAACUGUACGUCAUAGUUAGAAUUUAAUAGUAACAGGUUUUUUACGCUAGUAAUAAGAGCACUAAACAUUGAAACACCAGCAUAACUUGUCUGCAAUGCUCUCACAACAGUUUGUGAAUCACUUUCGAAAAUUAAAGAGCUCCAAGUCCUUGAUCCCCAAACCACCCAUAUUUUUCAGUAAGCACACUUGCUUCCAGCUAACCCAACAUAAUUUCUUAUCCUUCAAACCUCCUCCCCAAAGAAAAUUUCGUUAAAUCUAAAUCAAUUGUUUAAUAAUGCAAUUAGGAGCUUUACAGAAAGAGAAAAAAUAUAGCGGGAGACUAGCAAGAACAAAAUUUAUAAGCGAAACUCUAUCUAUAAUAGAUAGGUGCCUCCCACUCCGGCUACACAGUCUUUGAAACAUAGCUUCCACUACCGGUUUACUCAGGUGAAAAACUAAACCUAGUGACUUACUAAUAGUUAAACUUAAAAUAUAAAAUAGUGCAAAAUAAAUAUAAUUGGAACAAGAAAUAAACGAAAAUAACAAAUACAGCUUAAUUGGAAAAAAAAUAGUUGAUUUUUCACUAAAACAAGUGAAGAACCAUCGUUUUCAGGAGGGUAAAGGGUGCUAGCCACCACUUUCGAACCCUCAACCACCAUAACAUAUAGCAAAGAAACAAAAGGUCCAAUAUUUUCAUCAAACGAAAAACAAAACAGAAAUAGAGACCAUGCCAGUUUAAAGAAGAGGAGAGACGUUGAUGAUGACAAAAACAGGAUUCAAAACGGCAACGAAGAAUCAAACUCCAAACAAACAACACUCCCAUAUCAAAAAGGUUGAAGAAACAUGGAAAAGUUGGAAAACUCGAAAAUUUGAGAAGUUGAGAAGAUGGAGAAUUUGAGAAAGUGAACAAAUGAUUUUAAAAUAUCCCUCCAUUUUCCUAUUUAUAAAAGAAUUCUAAGCAGACGUGACUAUGAGGAAUGAGACGGUGCCUCUCCCAUUUGAACCGUUGUUUUGAUUCAAAUGCCCAAAUUGAAAAGAUCCAACGCUCCUGAUUCCAUCAACGGCCAAUCAAAAUGGCGCUUCGGUCUAUCAGUCCAAAGUUGUCCUUGUGAUAUUGGAAAGCUUGAAGUGUAACCACUUGAGUGCGUCAGAAUAGGCUUUACGCUUGGUGGCAGGAGACGAAACAGCUUGUCCCCUCAAGUCACAUCUCUUCGAUCGCGCGUAUCUCGCCAAAUCCAAGACCACUCACUUCGAAAUAUCCCCACCUUAACAAAGUAAAUUGUGGUCCUCGACGAUAUUUGUGGACUCACAAUAAAUGUUCAUAAAACUCACCAUCCUUAAAUUGCUAAUUUAUGCUCGCCAUAAAUACAAAGAAAGUAUGUCCUCGAGCAUACUCCUCGCAAACGUGACUAGCAUGAGUUAGUCUAACGAGAAUUAUUUCGGAAAAACAUUUCCCCAAAAAACCUCUACGGACAGGGAGCAAUGCAGGUUAGUUCGAUAGAUGAUGAUCUCGGCAUAAUUCUCAAACAUGAACAUUGGCUAUCUCGACAUUUCCAGCAAUCACAAACUUCAAGUCAUCAUGCUCAUGUUCGAACAUGACGACUUGGGGGGCUACUGUUCUGGACUAGGCCUUCGGCCUAAUAACCGAUGAAAACCCCUUUAAUCAACCAUAUCGAGUUAAAACCUUGCUUCAUCUCUUACUGACUUGAGUGUCGGAGUAAUUGUAGGUACAAAAAACCCCUCCCAUUCACCAGAACAUAAGAGGAGCGCCACCGGACAAAGAUCGACUCUGAUCAAGGGAAGAUAAUUUCUCUUAACACUUAUUUUCAUGCAUGUAAACAUUGUAAUUGUUCUCAUAUGAAUAGGAAGUUCAUAGUAUAUUUGGACAUUUAAGCAUUAGUAAUCAAGUGAUUGAUUGAGUUUUCUAAUCUAAUUAAAUUUAAUAAUAUACCUAAUUACACACCAUAUUAUUAUGGCUUAAUUACUUAAUUGGUCCCUUAAAGACAUUUAUGGUUUCAAAUUGGUCCCUUAAAGAAAAAAGGUCCAAAUUGGUCCCUUAAAGACCUUGCCGUUAAACAUUUUGGUCAUUUCCGUCCAGAAACUGUUAAUUUUUACAGGUGGCAAACNNNNNNNNNNNNNNNNNNNNNNNNNNNNNNNNNNNNNNNNNNNNNNNNNNNNNNNNGGAUGCUUACGUGGCUGCUCACAUGGGUGCUUACAUGGCUGCUUACUAGGUAAAUCAUUUAAUUUUAAAAUAAAAACUUAAAGUUAAAAUUUAAAAUAAAAAAAAAUGGCAAAUUAAAAAACAAAAGAGAUAAAACAGAAAACUCAGAAAGGAAAAAAAAGAAAGAGCUUGCGCCGUCCAUCCCAGCGCCGCCUGUAUGAUGGUAUUGUUCUCUGUUUCACUUGAAUUGGGGCAAACCACAACAAAUUGAAAUAAAUUUGACAACAACCAUAGAAUCAAACUAAGCAAAUAAAAGCCAACUAUUGUGGCCUAACAAAAUUAAAUUUCCCAGAAGAAGUGUUAUAAGCUUAGCAAUUACAUCCUUUAACUUCAUAUUCAUCUUUCUAUCAAUUCUUUUUUGUUCUUUCACACAUUCAACAUCGAGAUUAUGAAUUCUUCCAUGUUUUCUUCACACCCAUCUUUUAUGAAUUAUUUUAUGCCUAAAAUCAACAUCGCUGCUUAGAAAACAAAUAGACAAAGGGUAAGCUUCGCCGGAAAACUUCUGUCUGUCGUAGAUCUGAUGUGGUCGCGGUUCCACGAGCUAGCCACCACCUUUUGUUUCAGAUCUCACNN
This 4987-nucleotide long non-coding RNA is filed under the name Trifolium pratense (red clover). RNAcentral's name for it is "long non-coding RNA (TPRA_LNC001914)". Lineage: Eukaryota; Viridiplantae; Streptophyta; Magnoliopsida; Fabales; Fabaceae. The record is from RNAcentral.